RNAcentral lists this long non-coding RNA (502 nucleotides) under Selaginella moellendorffii. RNAcentral's name for it is "long non-coding RNA (SMOE_LNC000047)". Lineage: Eukaryota; Viridiplantae; Streptophyta; Lycopodiopsida; Selaginellales; Selaginellaceae. The record is from RNAcentral.
GAAGAACUUCGACGUAGCGUACAACAGACUCGAAGGAGUGAUCCCCGAAGAGCUCGGAGGGAUGAAGGAACUUUCCAUCUUCCAUCUAGCCAGCAACAAACUCACAGGUAAGUUUCCUCGGUGGCUCGCGGAGCACGACAAUGUCUCGCUUAUCACCUUGAAUAGCAACUCCCUCACUGGAGAACUCCCUCCAGACUUUGGAAGCAGAACAGCACUCCGGAGCGUCGAUCUAUCCCAGAAUCAUUUCACUGGAAAACUUCCGCCAGCUCUUUGUCAGAAUGGAAGCUUGAAGUACCUUGCCGCACGAAACAAUCAGUUCUCGGGAGAUCUGCCAGUGCAACUCCAGCAGUGUCGGAACUUGGACAGGCUCCGUCUUGACGACAACUUCCUCACAGGCAGCGUCCACUUUUCCCAGUCGAAUGUCCACACCAUCACCCUCGCUCAUAAUCGUUUCAACGGGAGCCUCUCCAUGCGAGACAUGCCGAUGCUGAACCUCUUGGAC